RNAcentral lists this ribosomal RNA (407 nucleotides) under uncultured bacterium. RNAcentral describes it as "partial 16S ribosomal RNA". It matches the Rfam family "Bacterial small subunit ribosomal RNA", at positions 28 to 526 of the family's 1533-position model. The record is from RNAcentral.
GACGAACGCUGGCGGCGUGCCUAAUACAUGCAAGUAGGACGCAGUUGCGAACGGGUGAGUAACGCGUAGGUACCUGCCUAUUAGAGGGGGAUAACUCUUGUAAACGAUAGCUAAUACCGCAUACUAGUAGAUGGACCUGCGUUGUAUUAGCUAGUAGGUAGGGUAAUGGCCUACCUAGGCAAAGAUACAUAGCCGACCUGAGAGGGUGAGCGGCCACACUGGGACUUAGAAACGGCCCAGACUCCUCCGGGAGGCAGCAGUAGGGAAUCUGCGGCAAUGGGGGGAAGCCUGACCGAGCAACGCCGCGUGAGUGAAGAAGGUUUUCGGAUCGUAAAGCUCUGUUGUUAAGGAAGCGGUACUUAACCAGAAAGGAACGGCUAACUACGUGCCAGCCGCCGCGGUAAUAC